Molecule: ribosomal RNA, 407 nt
Filed under: uncultured bacterium
Lineage: Bacteria
Description: partial 16S ribosomal RNA
Rfam family: Bacterial small subunit ribosomal RNA
Source: RNAcentral
AUUGAACGCUGGCGGCAGGCCUAAUACAUGCAAGUCGAGCGGAGCGGCGGACGGGCGAGUAAUGCCUAGGAAUCUGCCUGGUAGUGGGGGAUAACGUCCGGAAAGGGGACCUUAUACCGCAUACUAAUAGAUGAGCUUUGGUUGGAUUAGCUAGUUGGUGGGGUAAUGGCUUACCAAGGCGACGAUCCGUAACUGGUCUGAGAGGAUGAUCAGUCACACUGGAACUGAGACACGGUCCAGACUCCUACGGGAGGCAGCAGUGGGGAAUAUUGGACAAUGGGCGAAAGCCUGAUCCAGCCAUGCCGCGUGUGUGAAGAAGGUCUUCGGAUUGUAAAGCACUUUAAGUUGGGAGGCGUUACCAACAGAAUAAGCACCGGCUAACUACGUGCCAGCAGCCGCGGUAAUUC